RNAcentral lists this ribosomal RNA (465 nucleotides) under uncultured bacterium. RNAcentral describes it as "partial 16S ribosomal RNA". It matches the Rfam family "Bacterial small subunit ribosomal RNA", at positions 339 to 795 of the family's 1533-position model. The record is from RNAcentral.
CUACGGGCGGCAGCAGUGAGGAAUUUUGCGCAAUGGGGGGAACCCUGACGCAGCAACGCCGCGUGAGUGAUGAAGGCUUUCGGGUCGUAAAGCUCUGUCAAGUGGGAAGAACCUAUGCAGUGUUAAUAUCACUGUAUACUGACGGUACCACUGAAGGAAGCACCGGCUAACUCCGUGCCAGCAGCCGCGGUAAUACGGGGGGUGCAAGCGUUAUUCGGAAUCAUUGGGCGUAAAGGGCACGUAGGCGGCGUGGUAAGUCAGAUGUGAAAGCCCGGGGCUUAACCCCGGAAGUGCAUUUGAUAAUGUCAGGCUUGAGUAUGGGAGAGGGAAGUGGAAUUCCUGGUGUAGAGGUGAUAUUCGUAGAUAUCAGGAGGAACACCGGUGGCGAAGGCGACUUCCUGGACCAAUACUGACGCUGAGGUGCGAAGGCGUGGGUAGCAAACAGGAUUAGAUACCCCCGUAGUC